CCCCGGCGCCACAAGUGGGAACCACGUUUAUUGGGUCUAGAGCAUCCGUAGCCGGCUUGUUAAAUGCCCUGUGAAAUCGUUCCGCCUAACGGGACGGCGUGCAGGGUAGACUGGCAAGCUUGGAACCAGGAAAGGCAGGCGGUAUUCUGUGGGGAGCGGUAAAAUGCUAUAAUCCACAGAGGACCACCGAUGGCGAAGGCAGCCUGCUUGAAUGGAUUCGACGGUGAGGGAUGAAAGCCAGGGGAGCGAUCCGG
Molecule: ribosomal RNA, 254 nt
Filed under: uncultured archaeon
Lineage: Archaea
Description: partial 16S ribosomal RNA
Rfam family: Archaeal small subunit ribosomal RNA
Source: RNAcentral